CCGGUUAACCCACUCAGAGGGGGAGUAACACUUGGAAACAGGUGCUAAUACCGCAUAACAGUUUAUGCCGCAUGGCAUAAGAGUGAAAGGCGCUUUCGGGUGUCGCUGAUGGAUGGACCCGCGGUGCAUUAGCUAGUUGGUGAGGUAACGGCUCACCAAGGCCACGAUGCAUAGCCGACCUGAGAGGGUGAUCGGCCACACUGGGACUGAGACGCGGCCCAG
RNAcentral lists this ribosomal RNA (222 nucleotides) under uncultured bacterium. RNAcentral describes it as "partial 16S ribosomal RNA". It matches the Rfam family "Bacterial small subunit ribosomal RNA", at positions 117 to 334 of the family's 1533-position model. The record is from RNAcentral.